This 235-nucleotide unclassified non-coding RNA is filed under the name soil metagenome. RNAcentral describes it as "partial contains small subunit ribosomal RNA, internal transcribed spacer 1, and 5.8S ribosomal RNA". The record is from RNAcentral.
UCUCCGUUGGUGAACCAGCGGAGGGAUCAUUAUAGAGUACCUGUACUCCCUAAACCACUGUGAACCUUACCACUGUUGCUUCGGCGUGAAGCCGCGCCGCCGGCCCCCCUCCUGCGGGAGGGGGUCCCGGGGGCGCGGUGGACCGCCGGGGACCCCCUAUUCUUGUAUUUGCAGAGGAUCUUCUGAGCAGCGCAAGCAAAUAUUAAAACUUUCAGCAACGGAUCUCUUGGCUCUG